GAAGUGGGCGGUGAAAGGGCCUGAAUUUCGAUCAUCUCAAAACCUUCUGCAUAAAAUAUUCAUAUCAUAUAACAUGCAUACCCAUCUCAGGUGGCAAAUAGUCUAGAGUGCCGCACAUAGUCCGCCUUCGAUUAAAGGACCGGAAUGAUUAUCCCUGCCUGAUGGGUCUACAUCCAUCCCUGAAUGUCGUCGGCUGUAUUUAAACAAACAUUAUGGGUUUUAGGGAGUUUCCCAUCGUCUCCUUUUAUCUCUGGAAUUUUACCGUCUUCCGAUCGACGUAGCUCCGCAUUUUUAUAGUCAUGCUGCUGACUUAUAUUAGCUUUAGACUUCAGGUUAUCUUCAUUAGUCUUUAGCUUUUGUAUCUCAUUGUCCAUACUGUCCACUUUAGUACAAAGUGUAGUAAUGGCUUUGAGUAGCUCUUUAAUUGUAUCUUCGUUUUUGUUCUCAGUCUGAGUAGUUUUGUCUUGAUAAGUAGUCUGCAACACCAUUCUUAUUAGUCUUUAUUACUUCAAUUGUAAAUGUAAAGUUUAAUAUAUUCAAUAUCAAUCUUCUAAUUUCUUU
Solanum pennellii is the source of this 561-nucleotide long non-coding RNA. RefSeq lists it as uncharacterized. The record is from RefSeq and is a predicted model, not a curated record. The transcript is spliced from 3 exons. Lineage: Eukaryota; Viridiplantae; Streptophyta; Magnoliopsida; Solanales; Solanaceae.